Molecule: ribosomal RNA, 728 nt
Filed under: uncultured organism
Description: bacterial SSU rRNA
Rfam family: Bacterial small subunit ribosomal RNA
Source: RNAcentral
AUGCAAGUCGAAUGCCGAUUUAUCGGCAUGGCAGACGGCUGAGUAAUACAUGGGAAUCUACCUCAAACUCGAGAAUAGCCCAUCGAAAGGUGGUGUAAUACUCGAUAGUUCCGUUUACGGUAAAGCUCCGGCGGUUUGAGAUGAGCCCAUGUCCUAUCAGGUUGUUGGUAGGGUAAUUGCCUACCAAGCCUAUGACGGGUAGCUGGUUUGAGAGGAUGAUCAGCCAGACUGGGACUGCGAUACGGCCCAGACUCCUACGAGAGGCAGCAACUAGGAAUCAUGCGCAAUGGACGAAAGUCUGACGCUGCGACGUCGCGUGAGGGAUGAAGGUCUUCGGAUCGUAAACCUCUUUUAUCUGGGAACAAGUUCUGAGUGUACCAGAUGAAUAAGUGCCUGCCAACCACGUGCCAGAAGCAUCGGUAAUGCGUGGGGCACGAGCGUUAUCCGGAUUUACUGGGCGUAAAGAGAUGCGUAGGCGCCUUUUUAAGUCACUUGUAAAAUCUCCCCGCUCAACGGGGAAACUGCAAGUGAUACUGAAUUGGUUGAGUCAAGUAGAGGAGAGGGGAAUUCCUGGUGGAGCGGUUAAAUGCGUUGAUAUCAGGAGGAAUACCAAGUGCGAAGGCACCUCUCUGGACUUGUACUGACGCUAAGGCUCGAAAGUGUGGGGAGCAAAACGGAUUAGAUACCCGUGUAGUCCACACUGUAAACGAUCCCUGCUAGAUGUUUGC